This 484-nucleotide ribosomal RNA is filed under the name uncultured bacterium. RNAcentral's name for it is "partial 16S ribosomal RNA". It matches the Rfam family "Bacterial small subunit ribosomal RNA", at positions 30 to 507 of the family's 1533-position model. The record is from RNAcentral.
AUUGAACGCUGGCGGCAGGCCUAACACAUGCAAGUCGAGCGGAUGAAGGGAGCUUGCUCCUGGAUUCAGCGGCGGACGGGUGAGUAAUGCCUAGGAAUCUGCCUGGUAGUGGGGGAUAACGUCCGGAAACGGGCGCUAAUACCGCAUACGUCCUGAGGGAGAAAGUGGGGGAUCUUCGGACCUCACGCUAUCAGAUGAGCCUAGGUCGGAUUAGCUAGUUGGUGGGGUAAAGGCCUACCAAGGCGACGAUCCGUAACUGGUCUGAGAGGAUGAUCGGUCACACUGGAACUGAGACACGGUCCAGACUCCUACGGGAGGCAGCAGUGGGGAAUACUGGACAAUGGGCGAAAGCCUGAUCCAGCCAUGCCGCGUGUGUGAAGAAGGUCUUCGGAUUGUAAAGCACUUUAAGUUGGGAGGAAGGGCAGUAAGUUAAUACCUUGCUGUUUUGACGUUACCAACAGAAUAAGCACCGGCUAACUUCGUG